RNAcentral lists this ribosomal RNA (305 nucleotides) under uncultured bacterium. RNAcentral's name for it is "bacterial SSU rRNA". It matches the Rfam family "Bacterial small subunit ribosomal RNA", at positions 438 to 760 of the family's 1533-position model. The record is from RNAcentral.
AGCUGGGAAGAUAAUGACGGUACCAGCAGAAGAAGCCCCGGCUAACUCCGUGCCAGCAGCCGCGGUAAUACGGAGGGGGCUAGCGUUGUUCGGAAUUACUGGGCGUAAAGCGCACGUAGGCGGAUUGGAAAGUUGGGGGUGAAAUCCCGGGGCUCAACCUCGGAACUGCCUCCAAAACUAUCAGUCUAGAGUUCGAGAGAGGUGAGUGGAAUUCCGAGUGUAGAGGUGAAAUUCGUAGAUAUUCGGAGGAACACCAGUGGCGAAGGCGGCUCACUGGCUCGAUACUGACGCUGAGGUGCGAAAGC